GCCAUAUCAUGUUGAAACAGCGGUUCCCAUAUGAUCACUGAAGUUAAGCAACAUCAAGCCUGAGCAAUACCUAGAUCGGUAACCACUUGGGAAUACCAGAUGCUGUAAG
Acanthosepion pharaonis is the source of this 109-nucleotide non-coding RNA. The record is from the annotation of a GenBank genome assembly. NCBI's taxonomy places the organism in Eukaryota, Metazoa, Mollusca, Cephalopoda, Sepiida, Sepiidae.